RNAcentral lists this ribosomal RNA (468 nucleotides) under uncultured bacterium. Its description in RNAcentral is "partial 16S ribosomal RNA". It matches the Rfam family "Bacterial small subunit ribosomal RNA", at positions 28 to 507 of the family's 1533-position model. The record is from RNAcentral.
GACGAACGCUGGCGGCGUGCUUAACACAUGCAAGUCGAACGGAAAGGCCCUGCUUUUGUGGGGUGCUCGAGUGGCGAACGGGUGAGUAACACGUGAGUAACCUGCCCUUGACUUUGGGAUAACUUCAGGAAACUGGUGCUAAUACCGGAUAGGAGCUCCUGCUGCAUGGUGGGGGUUGGUAAGUUUCGGCGGUUGGGGAUGGAAUCGCGGCUUAUCAGCUUGUUGGUGGGGUAGUGGCUUACCAAGGCUUUGACGGGUAGCCGGCCUGAGAGGGUGACCGGCCACAUUGGGACUGAGAUACGGCACAGACUACUACGGGAGGGAGCAGUGGGGAAUAUUGCACAAUGGGCGGAAGCCUGAUGCAGCAAAGCCGCGUGCGGGAUGACGGCAUUCGGGUUGUAAACCGCUUUCGCCUGUGACGAAGCGUGAGUGACGGUAAUGGGUAAAGAAGCACCGGCUAACUACGUG